UACGUAGGGCGCAAGCGUUAUCCGGAAUUAUUGGGCGUAAAGAGCUCGUAGGCGGUUUGUCGCGUCUGCCGUGAAAGUCCGGGGCUCAACUCCGGAUCUGCGGUGGGUACGGGCAGACUAGAGUGAUGUAGGGGAGACUGGAAUUCCUGGUGUAGCGGUGAAAUGCGCAGAUAUCGGGAGGAACACCGGUGGCGAAGGCGGGUCUCUGGGCAGUAACUGACGCUGAGGAGCGAAAGCGUGGGGAGCAAACAGG
RNAcentral lists this ribosomal RNA (253 nucleotides) under uncultured bacterium. RNAcentral's name for it is "partial 16S ribosomal RNA". It matches the Rfam family "Bacterial small subunit ribosomal RNA", at positions 524 to 776 of the family's 1533-position model. The record is from RNAcentral.